Rhineura floridana is the source of this 705-nucleotide long non-coding RNA. RefSeq lists it as uncharacterized. NCBI's taxonomy places the organism in Eukaryota, Metazoa, Chordata, Lepidosauria, Squamata, Rhineuridae. The record is from RefSeq and is a predicted model, not a curated record. The transcript is spliced from 2 exons.
CCUAGUUAACUCUUUUCUGAGGCGUUUGCAUCUAUGAAAGCAGUUUGCUUAUUGGAAGAUACUUCUUGCCAGCCCUUAUUGGAAGUUUUAGAGCUUAUCCGAAAGAGUGACGAACACAUUUGAAAUGUCCAACAGCUGUCUGCAAAUGGAUUAAGUGCACAAUGAAACUUGCAUUUACGCCUGGCUGAGGGGAGUUGGAUACAGGGGAUCUCCAGCUAAGCCGGCUGGGUCCCACCUGAGCUGGGCUAUGCCAGCACAUGUCCCUCAGCCAGGGCUCAGCUGGCCAGCCCAACUCAGCUGGGAUCCAGCCACCUCAGCCAAGUCUGGCACACGUGGAACCCCCAUAAGACCAGAAAAGGGGGCAUGUCAGAGGUGUGCCAAGGGAGGGGCUGAGGAGACUUUGGCCAUAUCCAACUUGUGUUUGGAGAGCUCCUGCAGCUCCCAAUCCAGGCAAAAGUUACACUGGGAAAAUAAUUGCAAUAGAAGUCAAUGGAAGGGCUUACUCCCCAGUAGGGGUAUUUGGGAGACCAGACUUUUUCUUUCUGGUCCAUGCACACAGCUCCUGGCUGAGCCAGUGUUCAGCCAACCCAGAGGCUCCUGAAUGCAAUUGGAUGUAGCGGAACUUUACGCCAGCUCAACUUACGAUGACUUCCCCUGAAUUGGAUUGCUCUGUAAAUUAUUAAAUGAAACAAUACAGAAAACCAA